RNAcentral lists this ribosomal RNA (518 nucleotides) under uncultured microorganism. Its description in RNAcentral is "bacterial SSU rRNA". It matches the Rfam family "Bacterial small subunit ribosomal RNA", at positions 9 to 524 of the family's 1533-position model. The record is from RNAcentral.
GAGUUUGAUCUUGGCUCAGAUUGAACGCUGGCGGCAGGCCUAACACAUGCAAGUCGAGCGGAUGAAGGGAGCUUGCUCCUGGAUUCAGCGGCGGACGGGUGAGUAAUGCCUAGGAAUCUGCCUGGUAGUGGGGAUAACGUCCGGAAACGGGCGCUAAUACCGCAUACGUCCUGAGGGAGAAAGUGGGGGAUCUUCGGACCUCACGCUAUCAGAUGAGCCUAGGUCGGAUUAGCUAGUUGGUGGGGUAAAGGCCUACCAAGGCGACGAUCCGUAACUGGUCUGAGAGGAUGAUCAGUCACACUGGAACUGAGACCCGGUCCAGACUCCUACGGGAGGCAGCAGUGGGGAAUAUUGGACAAUGGGCGAAAGCCUGAUCCAGCCAUGCCGCGUGUGUGAAGAAGGUCUUCGGAUUGUAAAGCACUUUAAGUUGGGAGGAAGGGCAGUAAGUUAAUACCUUGCUGUUUUGACGUUACCAACAGAAUAAGCACCGGCUAACUUCGUGCCAGCCGCGCGGUAAG